ACUCAAAGGAAUUGACGGGGGCUCACACAAGCGGUGGAGCAUGUGGCUCAAUUCGAAGCAACGCGAAGAACCUUAUCCUGGGCUUGACAUGCACGGAUUAGCUCCUGGAAACAGGAGUGACGCUCGCAAGAGUGGAACGUGCACAGGUGCUGCAUGGCUGUCGUCAGCUCGUGCUGUGAAGUGUCGGGUUAAGUCCCUUAACGAGCGAAACCCCUAUCGUUAGUUGCUACCGGGUCAUGCCGAGGACUCUAACGAGACUGCCGGUGUCAAACCGGAGGAAGGUGGGGAUGACGUCAAGUCCUCAUGGCCUUUAUGCCCAGGGCUGCACACGUGCUACAAUGGCGUGAACAAAGCGAAGCAAGACCGCAAGGUGGAGCAAAUCGCAGAAAACACGCCCCAGUUCAGAUCGAGGUCUGCAACCCGACCUCGUGAAGUUGGAAUCGCUAGUAAUCGCGGAUCAGCUACGCCGCGGUGAAUAUGUUCCUGAGCCUUGUACACACCGCCCGU
This 507-nucleotide ribosomal RNA is filed under the name uncultured bacterium. Its description in RNAcentral is "partial 16S ribosomal RNA". It matches the Rfam family "Bacterial small subunit ribosomal RNA", at positions 899 to 1397 of the family's 1533-position model. The record is from RNAcentral.